This 1248-nucleotide long non-coding RNA is filed under the name Mus musculus (house mouse). RNAcentral describes it as "long non-coding RNA chr2:82181362-82182610". Lineage: Eukaryota; Metazoa; Chordata; Mammalia; Rodentia; Muridae. The record is from RNAcentral.
UAGCACAGAGGCAAUGAGAGUAUAUCUUAAUAGUUAAGUAUUUUUAUUUUGGUGUUUUCUAUUUCUUUAUAUAAUAUGAAUAUUAAAUAUUAGCCUUAUUUAGAUAUUGAUUUUUCUAUAUCUUCUAGUGAGUAUCAUAUUGACAAGUAGUUUGCAUAGUGUCUAGAAAUGCACAGUUAUAGCACAAUUAAUUUUAAAACAUUUUCAUAGUCCACUCACCCCAAACACCCCAUAGUCACUUGUAGUAAAACCAUUCUCUCUGCCAUUCAGCCCUCAACAAACACAUAUCUAUUUUACAUCUCUAAAGACCUGCUUGUUCUGAAAAUGUUAGCAUAACUAAAAUGGUGUAGUAGGUUAUAUUUUUUUAAUUUGUUUCCUUCAUUAUGUCCAAAGCUUGGUAUCAAAUGAGUCAGCUCACCAACCCUCCUUCAGGUGAGUGAUGUAUAGUGUUUGAACUCACAGGUCGUGUUUAUCCAUUUCUCAGUAUGAGUUGCUUCCAGUUUGUCGCUAUUAUGAAUAAUUAAGCAAUAUUUACAAAUCUGCACAUAAAUCUUUAUGCAGAUGAGUGUUUAAUUUUGGUUAUAUAAAAAAGAGGACCUCUGGACCAUGUUGUACCUAUGGUUAUUGUUUUGAGGAAAUGUCAGGCUUCUGUCUGAGUGACUGGCAUUUUUCACAUUCUUACAGUACUUUUUGAGGCCUCUGAUUUCUCUGUAGAUGUUCCAACAUAUAUUAUUUACUUUUCUUGGUUGUUUUAUAGACUGCAAGGUGGAUGUUAAAUGUUAUCUCUCUAAAGACUUCACUUGAGUUACACAGAUAGCUAAUUAUUUUUACCAAAAUGAUUAUGCAUGGUAAAAUACAUUGAAACACUUUCCCUAUUUAACUACAUUUUUGUAAGGUUGUAAUUUGUUAGCUUGUCUUUUAAAAAUUCCAUUGGUGCUGUAUUGUGUAUGAAGAUAGAGGUGGGAAAAUACAGUUCUAUAGAAAACCAAAUGAACUUUAAGUGGUUCCUUGGAUAUUUAUAACUCAUCAGGUCUCUGUGUAACUGAUAAUCCACCUGUCUUGGUACAUUAAUGUAUGAGGAAAUCAUGGAUAUUCACAGUCAGUAUUCUCUAUUCAAAUUGAUACUUCACUAAAAUCCAUGUUUAAAAGAUGUGCACAGUUAUAGAGAAGUAUAGAAAGAAUAACAAGCAGACAGUAAUCAAAACAGAAAACCAAGCAACUGGUGAUAAAUCUGGCCUCUUAGUAUGG